This 275-nucleotide ribosomal RNA is filed under the name uncultured bacterium. RNAcentral describes it as "partial 16S ribosomal RNA". It matches the Rfam family "Bacterial small subunit ribosomal RNA", at positions 338 to 630 of the family's 1533-position model. The record is from RNAcentral.
CCUACGGGUGGCUGCAGUGAGGAAUAUUGGACAAUGGGCGCAAGCCUGAUCCAGCCAUGCCGCGUGAGUGAUGAAGGCCCUAGGGUUGUAAAACUCUUUUAGUGGGGAAAAUAAUGAUGGUACCCACAGAAAAAGCUCCGGCUAACUUCGUGCCAGCAGCCGCGGUAAUACGAAGGGAGCUAGCGUUACUCGGAAUAACUGGGCGUAAAGCGCAUGUAGGCGGAAAUACAAGUCAGGGGUGAAAUCCCGGGGCUCAACCUCGGAAUUGCCUUUGA